Molecule: small RNA, 104 nt
Filed under: Atlantibacter hermannii NBRC 105704
Lineage: Bacteria; Pseudomonadati; Pseudomonadota; Gammaproteobacteria; Enterobacterales; Enterobacteriaceae
Description: istR Hfq binding RNA
Rfam family: istR Hfq binding RNA
Source: Rfam by way of RNAcentral
GGUCAAUUGGUCGUAUAGUUACAAAGUUGACGUAACACAGUGUGCUUUUGCGGCGACCAUCCGCAAAACCGCUCCAGAAAACCUCGCUUCCCGCGGGGUUUUUU